UUUACAACAUUUGUAGAGAUGUCAAAGGACAAGCAGACCCGAUCCGCCCCUUCCCCCACCCCCUCGGAUCUAUCCCUGCAUAGCAACGAGGAGUGGGAGCCAACCCAGGAGGCGGAUACGACCGACCAGGCAUGUAGUGACCAGCCGCGGUCGUCAAGGGCCCAUGAGAAGUCCAAGAAAAAGCCUAGUAGAAAGGCAAGAAGCCAGCCAGAGGAGCAGUCGGAGGAGGAAGCCUCUGGUGAAGAUGCAGGACCGAAAAAGCCGCGUGGACCCAGAUACACUGAGGCGGAAAACUGUACCCUAGUGGAUUGCGUCGACAGGUCCUACGACGUUUUGUAUGGACCAAGGGCACAG
Pseudophryne corroboree (corroboree frog) is the source of this 354-nucleotide long non-coding RNA. RefSeq lists it as uncharacterized. Lineage: Eukaryota; Metazoa; Chordata; Amphibia; Anura; Myobatrachidae. The transcript is spliced from 3 exons. The record is from RefSeq and is a predicted model, not a curated record.